AGUUGAUCGGCUGGAGAGAACGCGAGUGGCAGUAGUUCGUGGGUUGUACUGUGCUUGGGGUUCAAAUUGCUCUGUAUUUAUAGGGGAUUUGGGGAAGGGUGCGAGGCACGGGCCUUGGCCGAAUGCCCGGGCCCGAAUCCCCGAGCCCGAGACCGUCCGAUCGGGAGCAGAUUUUUUAUUUUUUAUUUUUUAUGGCCGAAUGCCCGAGCCGGAUCUUGAGGCUGUCCGAUCGGAACAGAAUGUGUCAGGGAUGGAUGGAUGACCAGUUGCAGUGGCCCGUCUCGGACAGAAGAGUGCUAGCCUCGGAAAGUCAGAACUCAGGAGGCCGAGCCAGAAAGUCGUAAC
RNAcentral lists this long non-coding RNA (345 nucleotides) under Brachypodium distachyon (stiff brome). RNAcentral describes it as "long non-coding RNA (BDIS_LNC005984)". Lineage: Eukaryota; Viridiplantae; Streptophyta; Magnoliopsida; Poales; Poaceae. The record is from RNAcentral.